UACAGAGGGUGCGAGCGUUAAUCGGAAUUACUGGGCGUAAAGGGCGCGUAGGCGGCCGUUCAAGUCGGGGGUGAAAGCCUGUGGCUCAACCACAGAAUGGCCCUCGAUACUGGAUGGCUCGAGACCGGAAGAGGUUGGUGGAACUGCGAGUGUAGAGGUGAAAUUCGUAGAUAUUCGCAAGAACACCAGUGGCGAAGGCGGCCAACUGGUCCGGUUCUGACGCUGAGGCGCGAAAGCGUGGGGAGCAAACAGG
RNAcentral lists this ribosomal RNA (253 nucleotides) under uncultured bacterium. RNAcentral's name for it is "partial 16S ribosomal RNA". It matches the Rfam family "Bacterial small subunit ribosomal RNA", at positions 524 to 776 of the family's 1533-position model. The record is from RNAcentral.